This is a long non-coding RNA of Centruroides sculpturatus (bark scorpion), 951 nucleotides long. RefSeq lists it as uncharacterized. The transcript is spliced from 3 exons. The record is from RefSeq and is a predicted model, not a curated record. Lineage: Eukaryota; Metazoa; Arthropoda; Arachnida; Scorpiones; Buthidae.
GCGUCGAAAGCGUUAAAUCUGUUUAAUUUUCUUAAUUUUAACGGUUUAAUUAAUUUUCUGAUUUAGCGUUCAAAUUAACAAUAGAAACACUACGCUAAGAAAAGACACGUGGGAGUGACUCACACGUAAAAAAUUAUAACGGGCAAAGAAGUAAGAAAGUAUUAAACAAUGGUUGUUAGUGUAUAUCUCCAUUUUGGAUCUGUAACAACAGCUGGAGGACUUACUUAGCCUCGGGCUUCAUCUAUAUGAGGUCGGUGUCGAUCAUAAUCAUAGAUUUUUUAACUUUUAUUUCUCCAUCUGCAUCCUGUUUGUCAUCCAGGAAAACCAAUUGCGAAAGAUAUUCGUGUUCAACGGACCACGUAUCCCCCUUGAUAAGAGGAAGAUGGUAUUUUAUAAGUUGCCAUUAUGUAAUGAUGGAAUGUGACAUCUCAUCAGCUCCGACUUAUACUCGGCAAGGACUCUAAUGAAGGCACUAGACCGCGGACGGUCACACCUUGUCAAGAUAGGAGCCAUACACUAUCAACUAAAUACUAAUUUGGUCGGUACAUUUUAAAUCGAAAACGCGUGUAAGAUUCCUGACCAUCAAACGUAGAAGAUGAAUGCAGAUUUACUGACGGAUUACUGACUUCGUCAUCAUCAAUUUAUUCAGAUGGGUACACUCCUAGUACCACAUAUCCUCAGACCCGACAAUCUCUUCUCUUGGCAGUAACGAAACAUAGAAACACGAGUCUAGUAAAGUUGCUCGAGUAAACACGUUUGGAAUUUCCUUUGAAAUAAAAAUUUAAGUAUAGAAAAGCGUUAAAAAGACGAGCAGAGGAUCGAUUCUUUAUUUUUGUUAAAAUGUUACCACAAAUCCUUUCACUAUCGGUUGAUUUCGAUUCGUGGUUUUCAGACUAAAUAUACUUUCUCCACAUUUCCAUUAAGUUUCCGUACUAACACCGACAUUUUAAU